RNAcentral lists this unclassified non-coding RNA (2230 nucleotides) under uncultured fungus. RNAcentral describes it as "sequence contains 18S rRNA gene, ITS1, 5.8S rRNA gene, ITS2, 28S rRNA gene". The stretch from base 874 to 2230 matches the Rfam family "Eukaryotic large subunit ribosomal RNA", at positions 1 to 961 of the family's 3401-position model. Lineage: Eukaryota; Fungi. The record is from RNAcentral.
GGAAGGAUCAUUAUCAUUUAUAAUCCUAUAUUCUAAUCGUUAAAGUCUUUCAAAAGGCAUUAAUAUGUAAUUAUCUAUUAUAUUUAAGAAACUUGUCUUACAAACCCAAUCAAAAAAAAUAUGGAAAGCCUCCCUUAAAAAAGGUGGUAAUCCAAAACAACCCAUACGACUUCCAACAAUGGAUAUCUCGGCUCCCACUUCGAUGAAGAACGCAGCGAAAUGCGAUACGUAAUGCGAAUCGCAGAUAGCCGUGAGUCAUCAAAUCUUUGAAUGCAUCCUGCACCUCGGGAACUCUUCGGAGUAACCCCAGGUACACUCGGAUGAGAGUGACUUAAGGCGUUUCAAGGGAGAAGGAAGUGGGUUAAACGAGUAGGCAUUCACUUGCCCCGUUUCCCAUGCCAAUCUCCUGGGAACUUAAAUGUUCCUGAUAUAUUGAUUGAUUGUGUCCAAUCGGAACUCUUUAUUGAGAAGAUGAUUGGUCAAUCUAAAUAAACGUUGGGAUUAAAUCCUAAUGGUCUCAUCGAAAUAAAGUAAAUUAGAAAAGAAUAAAGUUCUGUCUCCAGGGAAUGACCUUCUAAGUAAAAGAGGGAAUGUUCUAGAGAGGCCCACUAAGUAAUCAGAAUUUGAUGCGAAAGCAACAAAGUACUGAAGAAAGGAGGGGGACUCAGGAAAUUGCCCUUUUUAAAAGGAAAGUUAAUACUCAGGGGAACAAAACCAGAGCUUUGUAUCGUCUAAUUGAAAUCGAAGAGACUUGGAUAAAACCAACAAACCCCUUCGGAAGACUUUUCUUCGGGAGAGUCUUUACAAAUAAUAUGUAAGUUUAUUUUGUAUUCCUUUCGGGGGAUAGAAAAUAACUUAUAUAACUAAUUAGCCUCACCUCAUCUCGAGUGGGAAUACCCGCUGAAUUGAAGCAUCUUAAUAAGCGGAGGAAAAGAAAACAACCGUGAUUCCCUUAGUAACGGCGAGUGAACAGGGAAAAGCCCAAGCCUGUAAUCCUGGGCAGCCGCCCCUUUUGGCCUCGGCCGAGGGGGGUAAAAACCCGGCUGCCAGGAAUUGUGGCCUCACGACGCGCCCUAGGUUCAGUGCAGUCUCAACGGUUCCAAGUCACCUGGAAAGGUGCCGACAUAGAGGGUGAAAUUCCCGUAGGGACCGACUCCGAAAGGGGGAUGAGCGAGUCACUUUUGGACCCACAGAGGGACGCAGUCGCAGAGUCGGGCUGCUUGAGAGUGCAGCCUGAAUCCGGGUGGUAUACUCCACCCAAGGCUAAAUACACGGUGGGAGACCGAUAGCGCACAAGUACCGCGAGGGAAAGAUGCAAAGAACUCUGAAUAGAGAGUUAAAAGAACUUGAAGUUGUUGGAAGAGAAGCGAUUGCCACCUGCGAAGAGCGGCGAUCGGGCAGGGAUCUCUACAUUUGUGGGGAUACAACGGUAGUGGAGGCUUCGGCCUCUAUUCCGCUCUGCCUCAGUCAGGUCGUCCAGCCGGUAUCAGCUAGGGUUUGGGUACGACGCCCCUCAGAGGUAAGUUGCCACCGACGUGAUCGCAAGAUCGCGGUACAGGAUGGUGAGCAAACCUUUGAAGCCGGGCAACGUGGUCCCCUUGGCUGAUGUAAUUCGAUGUGCCUUCUCCCAGACCCCUUCGCAAGAGGGGGCGUAAGGAGAAAGGGCGGGAGGCUUUGAACGGGUUCUGUUCACGGGGAACGAGAGACCUGUUGCUGCUCGGGGGGAGACCUUCGGGCAAGCGCAGGCUGUCCUCUUCGUGAACUGGGAUCCGGUCAGAGUCCACCAGCCCGAAAGCCAGGCAUGGAGGAUACCGGUAAGGCAAGGUGUCAAUCGUCCCGUCUUGAAACACGGACCAAGGAGUUCGACAUGCAUGCGAGCGUGAGGGUGUGAAAAACCCGAACGCGAAACCAACGUGAACACCUGGGACUCUCUGGUUAAACUCCGGGGACGCACCAGGGACCUGCCCAGAGGGACGGGGAGUGGGGCCAGCUUGAUGAAGGGUGAAUAACCUUUUGUCAGGUUGGCGCAAAAAACCCAUUUCUCGCACCGAAACGGGCCAGAGUCAGAGUAUGCAUGUUGAGACCCGAAAGAUGGUGAACUAUGCCCGGGGAGGAUGAAGCCAGGGGAAACCCUGGUGGAAGUCCGCAGCGAUACUGACGUGCAAAUCGUUCGUCAGACCUGGGUAUAGGGGCGAAAGACCCAUCGAACCAUCUAGUAGCUGGUUCCCUC